UCGAGAAUCAUUCACAAUGAGGGAAACCCUGAUGGUGCGACGCCGCGUGGGGGAAUGAAGGUCUUCGGAUUGUAAACCCCUGUCAUGUGGGAGCAAAUUAAAAAGAUAGUACCACAAGAGGAAGAGACGGCUAACUCUGUGCCAGCAGCCGCGGUAAUACAGAGGUCUCAAGCGUUGUUCGGAAUCACUGGGCGUAAAGCGUGCGUAGGCGGUUUCGUAAGUCGUGUGUGAAAGGCGGGGGCUCAACCCCCGGACUGCACAUGAUACUGCGAGACUAGAGUAAUGGAGGGGGAACCGGAAUUCUCGGUGUAGCAGUGAAAUGCGUAGAUAUCGAGAGGAACACUCGUGGCGAAGGCGGGUUCCUAGACAUUAACUGACGCUGAGGCACGAAGGCCAGGGGAGCGAAAGGG
RNAcentral lists this ribosomal RNA (410 nucleotides) under Acidobacteriota bacterium. RNAcentral describes it as "Acidobacteria bacterium partial 16S ribosomal RNA". It matches the Rfam family "Bacterial small subunit ribosomal RNA", at positions 355 to 776 of the family's 1533-position model. The record is from RNAcentral. Lineage: Bacteria; Pseudomonadati; Acidobacteriota.